Long non-coding RNA from Dreissena polymorpha, 719 nucleotides. RefSeq lists it as uncharacterized. The record is from RefSeq and is a predicted model, not a curated record. The transcript is spliced from 4 exons. Lineage: Eukaryota; Metazoa; Mollusca; Bivalvia; Myida; Dreissenidae.
GACACAAAAAUAUCCAAUCAACAACAACAACGACGCUUCGACAAAUGUAAAUAAAUGAAAAAUAUUAAUCAUUCUUAUUGUAUUGGAAUUAGAUUUUAGGGUCCAACCUGAGAGUAGCGGUCAGUCAAGAGAAAUUGCAGAGUGACCUUUGUAUACAGGUGACCGUUGUUCUCAAUGUCCAUUUUUAGAUGGUAGCGCUUGUCACCAGCGCAGGUAUCCCCCUUCUCAACUACUGACUGGUGACCGCCAUGAGGGCUAGGAUCACGUGACUUUAUGGGGUUCACAAAUGGAUUUUAAUGGAUGUAAACACACCGCAUCGUUGCACCAAAAGUCUUCAGGCUUAAAGUGAAGUUUCGAGUCCAUAUUUCACGGGGAAAACCAGUUCUUUGGAGAGGAUCUAAAGAAUGCCAAGAUUGAACCUCUGUCCUCUGUUUUGCAAGGCGGACCCAUAACCAGAUACACACUUUUAUGACUUUAAUGUGAGCAUGUUUUUCUUCUGUUAGAAUUGCAUCAUGCAUUGUAUAUAUAUGCUGUUAUUAUAUAUAAAAUAUAAUUUUAAAAGAAUACGGACAUUUUGAAAUCUUUAAAAGAUGUAUGAGGAUAUUAGCUUGAGGCUACAAUAUGUGAGGACUCGGAGUCUGUUCAAGCACUACUCCUUUAACAACUUGCAAGAGACUCAUGUAUGUUUUGACGAAAUUAAAAUCAUGAUAAAUGUUAAA